GAGUUUGAUCCUGGCUCAGGAUGAACGCUGGCGGCGUGCUUAACACAUGCAAGUCGAACGAACCUUCGGGUUAGUGGCGGACGGGUGAGUAACGCGUGAGAAUCUGCCCUCAGGAGGGGGAUAACGGUUGGAAACGACCGCUAAUACCCCAUAUGCCGAUAGGUGAAAUGAAUUUCGCCUGAGGAUGAGCUCGCGUCUGAUUAGCUAGUUGGUGAGGUAAUGGCUCACCAAGGCUUCGAUCAGUAGCUGGUCUGAGAGGAUGAUCAGCCACACUGGGACUGAGACACGGCCCAGACUCCUACGGGAGGCAGCAGUGGGGAAUUUUCCGCAAUGGGCGAAAGCCUGACGGAGCAACGCCGCGUGAGGGACGAAGGCCUCUGGGCUGUAAACCUCUUUUCUCAAGGAAGAAGAUAUGACGGUACUUGAGGAAUAAGCCACGGCUAAUUCCGUGCCAGCAGCCGCGGUAAUACGGGAGUGGCAAGCGUUAUCCGGAAUUAUUGGGCGUAAAGCGUCCGCAGGCGGCUUUUCAAGUCUGCUGUUAAAACGUGGAGCUUAACUCCAUCAUGGCAGUGGAAACUGAAAGGCUUGAGUAUGGUAGGGGCAGAGGGAAUUCCCGGUGUAGCGGUGAAAUGCGUAGAUAUCGGGAAGAACACCAGUGGCGAAGGCGCUCUGCUGGGCCAUUACUGACGCUCAUGGACGAAAGCCAGGGGAGCGAAAGGGAUUAGAUACCCCUGUAGUCCUGGCCGUAAACGAUGAACACUAGGUGUCGGGGGAAUCGACCCCUUCGGUGUCGUAGCUAACGCGUUAAGUGUUCCGCCUGGGGAGUACGCACGCAAGUGUGAAACUCAAAGGAAUUGACGGGGGCCCGCACAAGCGGUGGAGUAUGUGGUUUAAUUCGAUGCAACGCGAAGAACCUUACCAGGGUUUGACAUCCUGCGAACCUCUUAGAAAUUUGAGGGUGCCUUCGGGAAUGCAGUGACAGGUGGUGCAUGGCUGUCGUCAGCUCGUGUCGUGAGAUGUUGGGUUAAGUCCCGCAACGAGCGCAACCCACGUUUUUAGUUGCCAGCAUUUAGUUGGGCACUCUAGAAAGACCGCCGGUGAUAAACCGGAGGAAGGUGUGGAUGACGUCAAGUCAUCAUGCCCCUUACACCCUGGGCUACACACGUACUACAAUGCUACGGACAAAGGGCAGCAAACUCGCGAGAGCUAGCAAAUCCCAUAAACCGUGGCUCAGUUCAGAUCGUAGGCUGCAACUCGCCUACGUGAAGUAGGAAUCGCUAGUAAUCGCAGGUCAGCAUACUGCGGUGAAUACGUUCCCGGGCCUUGUACACACCGCCCGUCACACCAUGGAAGUUGGCCAUGCCCGAAGUCGUUACUCCAACCCUUGUGGAGGAGGACGCCGAAGGUGGGGCUAAUGACUGGGGUGAAGUCGUAACAAGGUA
This 1442-nucleotide ribosomal RNA is filed under the name uncultured Prochlorococcus sp. RNAcentral describes it as "bacterial SSU rRNA". It matches the Rfam family "Bacterial small subunit ribosomal RNA". The record is from RNAcentral. Lineage: Bacteria; Bacillati; Cyanobacteriota; Cyanophyceae; Synechococcales; Prochlorococcaceae.